UACGUAGGGGGCAAGCGUUGUCCGGAUUUAUUGGGCGUAAAGAGCGUGUAGGCGGCUUUACAGGUCCGCUGUGAAAACUCGAGGCUCAACCUCGAGCUGUCGGUGGAAACCGUAAGGCUAGAGUCCGGAAGAGGAGAGUGGAAUUCCCGGUGUAGCGGUGAAAUGCGCAGAUAUCGGGAAGAACACCCGUGGCGAAGGCGGCUCUCUGGGACGGUACUGACGCUG
Molecule: ribosomal RNA, 225 nt
Filed under: uncultured bacterium
Lineage: Bacteria
Description: partial 16S ribosomal RNA
Rfam family: Bacterial small subunit ribosomal RNA
Source: RNAcentral